RNAcentral lists this ribosomal RNA (468 nucleotides) under uncultured bacterium. RNAcentral describes it as "partial 16S ribosomal RNA". It matches the Rfam family "Bacterial small subunit ribosomal RNA", at positions 28 to 507 of the family's 1533-position model. The record is from RNAcentral.
GACGAACGCUGGCGGCGUGCUUAACACAUGCAAGUCGAACGGAAAGGCCCUGCUUUUGUGGGGUGCUCGAGUGGCGAACGGGUGAGUAACACGUGAGUAACCUGCCCUUGACUUUGGGAUAACUUCGGGAAACUGGGGCUAAUACCGGAUAGGAGCUCCUGCUGCAUGGUGGGGGUUGGAAAGUUUCGGCGGUUAGGGAUGGACUCGCGGCUUAUCAGCUUGUUGGUGGGGUAGUGGCUUACCAAGGCUUUGACGGGUAGCCGGCCUGAGAGGGUGACCGGCCACAUUGGGACUGAGAUACGGCCCAGACUCCUACGGGAGGCAGCAGUGGGGAAUAUUGCACAAUGGGCGUAAGCCUGAUGCAGCAACGCCGCGUGCGGGAUGACGGCCUUCGGGUUGUAAACCGCUUUCGCCUGUGACGAAGCGUGAGUGACGGUAAUGGGUAAAGAAGCACCGGCUAACUACGUG